RNAcentral lists this ribosomal RNA (253 nucleotides) under uncultured bacterium. RNAcentral describes it as "partial 16S ribosomal RNA". It matches the Rfam family "Bacterial small subunit ribosomal RNA", at positions 524 to 776 of the family's 1533-position model. The record is from RNAcentral.
UACAGAGGGGGCAAGCGUUGUUCGGAAUUACUGGGCGUAAAGGGCGCGUAGGCGGUGUGUCAAGUCAGGCGUGAAAGCCCCGGGCUCAACCUGGGAACCGCGCUUGAGACUGGCACGCUAGAGUUCGGGAGAGGAUGGUGGAAUUCCCAGUGUAGAGGUGAAAUUCGUAGAUAUUGGGAAGAACACCGAUGGCGAAGGCAGCCAUCUGGACCGACACUGACGCUGAGGAGCGAAAGCGUGGGGAGCGAACCGG